GAUGAACGCUGGCGGCGUGCCUAAUACAUGCAAGUCGAGCGAACGGACGAGAAGCUCGCUUCUCUGAUGUUAGCGGCGGACGGGUGAGUAACACGUGGAUAACCUACCUAUAAGACUGGGAUAACUUCGGGAAACCGGAGCUAACACCGGAUAAUAUUUUGAACCGCAUGGUUCAAAAGUGAAAGACGGUCUUGCUGUCACUUAUAGAUGGAUCCGCGCUGCAUUAGCUAGUUGGUAAGGUAACGGCUUACCAAGGCAACGAUGCAUAGCCGACCUGAGAGGAUGAUCGGACACACUGGAACUGAGACACGGUCCAGACUCCUACGGGAGGCAGCAGUAGGGAAUCUUCCGCAAUGGGCGAAAGCCUGACGGAGCAACGCCGCGUGAGUGAUGAAGGUCUUCGGAUCGUAAAACUCUGUUAUUAGGGAAGAACAUAUGUGUAAGUAACUGUGCACAUCUUGACGGUACCUAAUCAGAAAGCCACGGCUAACUACGUG
Molecule: ribosomal RNA, 497 nt
Filed under: uncultured bacterium
Lineage: Bacteria
Description: partial 16S ribosomal RNA
Rfam family: Bacterial small subunit ribosomal RNA
Source: RNAcentral